Molecule: ribosomal RNA, 562 nt
Filed under: bacterium enrichment culture clone bHCH6_H9
Lineage: Bacteria
Description: bacterial SSU rRNA
Rfam family: Bacterial small subunit ribosomal RNA
Source: RNAcentral
GGCGACCGGCGCACGGGUGAGUAACACGUAUGCAACCUGCCUACAACAGGGGGAUAACCCGUUGAAAGACGGACUAAUACCCCAUAAUACAGGGGUCCCGCAUGGGAAUAUUUGUUAAAGAUUAAUCGGUUGUAGAUGGGCAUGCGUUCCAUUAGCUAGUUGGUGAGGUAACGGCCCACCAAGGCAACGAUGGAUAGGGGAACUGAGAGGUUUAUCCCCCACACUGGUACUGAGACACGGACCAGACUCCUACGGGAGGCAGCAGUGAGGAAUAUUGGUCAAUGGACCCAAGUCUGAACCAGCCACGUCGCGUGAAGGAAGACGGCCCUACGGGUUGUAAACUUCUUUUGUAAGGGAAUAAAGUGUAGUACGUGUACUAUUUUGCAUGUACCUUACAAAUAAGGAUCGGCUAACUCCGUGCCAGCAGCCGUGGUAAUACGGAGGAUCCGAGCGUUAUCCGGAUUUAUUGGGUUUAAAGGGUGCGCAGGCGGGAGAUUAAUUCCGUGGUGAAAUUUUGCAGCUCAACUGUAAAAGUGCCUUCGAAACUGGUUUCCUUGAGUGU